AUACUUAACUAGCUAGAAAGAUACCAUGAUCACGGAGGUGGUUUUUCCAGGGCAAGGCUUAUCCAUUGCACUCCGGUUGUGCUGACCCCUGUGAUUUCCCCAAACGUGGGAAACUGGAGUGCAUAAUUUGUGGUAGUGGGGGAUUGCAUUCAAGCUCUUU
Suncus etruscus (white-toothed pygmy shrew) is the source of this 160-nucleotide small nuclear RNA. RefSeq annotates it as U1 spliceosomal RNA. NCBI's taxonomy places the organism in Eukaryota, Metazoa, Chordata, Mammalia, Eulipotyphla, Soricidae. The transcript has a single exon. The record is from RefSeq and is a predicted model, not a curated record.